UCGUGUUCCGAGUUCCCACAUUUUACCAUAGCUGCAUUUAGACUGCUCACUGAGGCUAUAACAGAAUGAUCAUGCGAUUCAACUGAAGUUUUUCCAUCUGUGACCUUUUGAAGAUCAAGAUGAUGUAGCCCAUAUACAGAAGCAGCCUGGCUUCUCAGCGCUUCUCUCAGAUUCACCAGCUUCUGUUGAGCGCGCUCGUGCAUCGACGUGAAGUAAGGCUCCAGACGAUCCUUCACAUCUUCCACGCUCUGUGAAGCACGAGACUGAACCUCCUCAAGGUAUGUUGACAUUUUUCUAUAAAUCAAA
Molecule: long non-coding RNA, 306 nt
Filed under: Danio rerio (zebrafish)
Lineage: Eukaryota; Metazoa; Chordata; Actinopteri; Cypriniformes; Danionidae
Description: si:ch73-347e22.10 (ENSDARG00000098513.2)
Source: RNAcentral